Molecule: ribosomal RNA, 1328 nt
Filed under: uncultured bacterium
Lineage: Bacteria
Description: partial 16S ribosomal RNA
Rfam family: Bacterial small subunit ribosomal RNA
Source: RNAcentral
GCUGGCGGCGUGCCUAACACAUGCAAGUCGAGCGGGGUCAAUUGCUUCGGUGAUUGUUCUAGCGGCGGACGGGUGAGUAACGCGUGAGCAACCUUUCUCUCAGUGGGGAAUAACACAGGGAAACUUGUACUAAUACCGCAUGAGACCACAGAGUGGCAUCACUUAGGGGUCAAAGAUUUAUCGCUGAGAGGUGGGCUCGCGUCUGAUUAGAUAGUUGGUGGGGUAACGGCCUACCAAGUCGACGAUCAGUAGCCGACCUGAGAGGGUGAUCGGCCACAUUGGGACUGAGACACGGCCCAAACUCCUACGGGAGGCAGCAGUGGGGAAUAUUGGGCAAUGGGGGAAACCCUGACCCAGCAACGCCGCGUGGAGGAAGAAGGUUUUCGGAUCGUAAACUCCUGUCCUCAGGGAAGAGCAGAAGACGGUACCUGAGGAGGAAGCCCCGGCUAACUACGUGCCAGCAGCCGCGGUAAUACGUAGGGGGCAAGCGUUGUCCGGAAUGAUUGGGCGUAAAGGGCGCGUAGGCGGCCCGUUAAGUCUGAAGUGAAAGUCCUGCUUUCAAGGUGGGAAUUGCUUUGGAUACUGGCGGGCUUGAGUGCAGGAGAGGUGAGUGGAAUUCCCAGUGUAGCGGUGAAAUGCGUAGAGAUUGGGAGGAACACCAGUGGCGAAGGCGGCUUGCUGGACGAUAACUGACGCUGAGGCGCGAAAGCGUGGGGAGCAAACAGGAUUAGAUACCCUGGUAGUCCACGCUGUAAACGAUGAAUACUAGGUGUGGGAGGACUGACCCCUUCCGUGCCGCAGUUAACACAAUAAGUAUUCCACCUGGGGAGUACGACCGCAAGGUUGAAACUCAAAGGAAUUGACGGGGGCCCGCACAAGCAGUGGAUUAUGUGGUUUAAUUCGACGCAACGCGAAGAACCUUACCAGGGUUUGACAUCCAACUAACGAAGUAGAGAUACAUUAGGUGCCCUUCGGGGAAAGUUGAGACAGGUGGUGCAUGGUUGUCGUCAGCUCGUGUCGUGAGAUGUUGGGUUAAGUCCCGCAACGAGCGCAACCCCUAUUGUUAGUUGCUACGCAAGAGCACUCUAGCGAGACUGCCGUUGACAAAACGGAGGAAGGCGGGGACGACGUCAAAUCAUCAUGCCCCUUAUAUCCUGGGCUACACACGUAAUACAAUGGUGGUAAACAGAGGGAAGCAAUAGAGCGAUCUGGAGCAAAUCACUAAAAGCCAUCUCAGUUCGGAUUGCAGGCUGCAACUCGACUACAUGAAGCUGGAAUCGCUAGUAAUCGCGAAUCAGAAUGUCGCGGUGAAUACGUUCCCGGGUCUU